Molecule: ribosomal RNA, 505 nt
Filed under: uncultured bacterium
Lineage: Bacteria
Description: partial 16S ribosomal RNA
Rfam family: Bacterial small subunit ribosomal RNA
Source: RNAcentral
GACGAACGCUGGCGGCGUGCCUAAUACAUGCAAGUAGAACGCACAGUUUAUACUGUAGCUUGCUACACCAUAGACUGUGAGUUGCGAACGGGUGAGUAACGCGUAGGUAACCUGCCUGGUAGCGGGGGAUAACUAUUGGAAACGAUAGCUAAUACCGCAUAAUAUUAAUUAUUGCAUGAUAAUUAAUUGAAAGGUGCAAUUGCACCACUACCAGAUGGACCUGCGUUGUAUUAGCUAGUAGGUGAGGUAACGGCUCACCUAGGCGACGAUACAUAGCCGACCUGAGAGGGUGAUCGGCCACACUGGGACUGAGACACGGCCCAGACUCCUACGGGAGGCAGCAGUAGGGAAUCUUCGGCAAUGGACGAAAGUCUGACCGAGCAACGCCGCGUGAGUGAAGAAGGUUUUCGGAUCGUAAAGCUCUGUUGUAAGAGAAGAACGGGUGUGAGAGUGGAAAGUUCACACUGUGACGGUAUCUGACCAGAAAGGGACGGCUAACUACGUG